Long non-coding RNA from Mastomys coucha (southern multimammate mouse), 376 nucleotides. RefSeq lists it as uncharacterized. The transcript has 2 exons. The record is from RefSeq and is a predicted model, not a curated record. NCBI's taxonomy places the organism in Eukaryota, Metazoa, Chordata, Mammalia, Rodentia, Muridae.
GGCGGGGCUAAGGAAACAGCUGCCCUGUGUUAAUGAGACCUCAGAGUGGCCGAGUUACCAGCUCAUUGUUAAAGAACUCCAAGCCUCUCACCUGGCCAAGGCCAGAGUUAAAGAGAAAAAGAACCGAAGUAACUGUUCUUUUCCCUGCUGCUAUCAGCUGGAGUUAAUCAACAGAAACUAACAGCUUUUGGCCUUGAAUAGCAAGAAAGAGUUAAAGUGGCAAAAGUAAGCAGCUUUUGGCCCCAGUCACUACCAACUUUACACGUCCCUUCUGUUGUCCUCCUGUGAGAACACGAUAGCCGCCUGCUACCCACCCCCGGCAGCAAUAAAAUACUUUAAAUAAAAUAUGAACAUUGUUAGGCAUAAUAUUAUCACA